RNAcentral lists this ribosomal RNA (184 nucleotides) under uncultured Polaromonas sp. RNAcentral's name for it is "partial 16S ribosomal RNA". It matches the Rfam family "Bacterial small subunit ribosomal RNA", at positions 1200 to 1382 of the family's 1533-position model. The record is from RNAcentral. Lineage: Bacteria; Pseudomonadati; Pseudomonadota; Betaproteobacteria; Burkholderiales; Comamonadaceae.
CCUUAUACGGUGGGCUACACACGUCAUACAAUGGAUGGUAACAAAGGGUCGCCAACCCGCGAGGGGGAGCCAAUCCCAUAAAGCCAUUCGUAGUCCGGAUCGCAGUCUGCAACCCGACUGCGUGAAGUCGGAAUCGCUAGUAAUCGUGGAUCAGAAUGUCACGGUGAAUACGUUCCCGGGUCUU